This 260-nucleotide ribosomal RNA is filed under the name uncultured bacterium. Its description in RNAcentral is "partial 16S ribosomal RNA". It matches the Rfam family "Bacterial small subunit ribosomal RNA", at positions 92 to 354 of the family's 1533-position model. The record is from RNAcentral.
CGACCGGCGCACGGGUGAGUAACACGUAUGCAACCUGCCCGUCUCAGGGGGAUAAUCGUCGGAAACGGCGUCUAAUACCCCGUAUGAAGCUGGACGGCAUCGUCUGGUUUUGAAAGAAUAUCGGAGACGGAUGGGCAUGCGGCGCAUUAGCUAGUUGGCGGGGUAACGGCCCACCAAGGCGACGAUGCGUAGGGGUUCUGAGAGGAAGGUCCCCCACACUGGUACUGAGACACGGACCAGACUCCUACGGGAGGCAGCAG